AUGUUAAAUGACAGGAUCAAUACAUGUGACCUUUUGACCAGAAAAAGCAUGCACCUAGACUCCACUAUAUGUAAUCUAUGCAACAUUGAAGAAUAUGAAGACAGAACUCACCUCCUAUUCACUUGCCCUUUUAGUCAAGGAUUCUGGUGGAACAUUGGCAUUGAAUGGAAUUCUGAUCUGGAGAUCAACACUAUGAUCAUUGAUGCUAAACCCAGAUAUAAAAUUGAUCACUUUAUGGAAGUCAUGAUUCUUGGAUGCUGGAGCAUAUGGAACCAAAGGAAUGAUCUAAUAUUUGAGGGGAUACCCUGCUCAAUAAAUGAAUGCAAGAGUGACUUCAUUAGAUAUUUCAAAAUGACCAUGCUGAGGGCUAAGCCCACUCUAAAAGAGGGCAUGUCAUCUUGGAUAGACAAUAUUUAA
RNAcentral lists this ribosomal RNA (417 nucleotides) under Triticum aestivum (bread wheat). Its description in RNAcentral is "partial small subunit ribosomal RNA". Lineage: Eukaryota; Viridiplantae; Streptophyta; Magnoliopsida; Poales; Poaceae. The record is from RNAcentral.